This 897-nucleotide ribosomal RNA is filed under the name Samsoniella tiankengensis. Its description in RNAcentral is "Samsoniella sp. WC-2022e partial large subunit ribosomal RNA". It matches the Rfam family "Eukaryotic large subunit ribosomal RNA", at positions 50 to 979 of the family's 3401-position model. Lineage: Eukaryota; Fungi; Ascomycota; Sordariomycetes; Hypocreales; Cordycipitaceae. The record is from RNAcentral.
UCGGGGGGAAAGAACAACAGGGAUUGCCCCAGUAACGGCGAGUGAAGCGGCAACAGCUCAAAUUUGAAAUCUGGCCUCCGGGUCCGAGUUGUAAUUUGUAGAGGAUGCUUUUGGCGAGGUGCCUUCCGAGUUCCCUGGAACGGGACGCCAUAGAGGGUGAGAGCCCCGUCUGGUCGGACACCGAGCCUCUGUAAAGCUCCUUCGACGAGUCGAGUAGUUUGGGAAUGCUGCUCAAAAUGGGAGGUAUAUGUCUUCUAAAGCUAAAUAUUGGCCAGAGACCGAUAGCGCACAAGUAGAGUGAUCGAAAGAUGAAAAGCACUUUGAAAAGAGGGUUAAAAAGUACGUGAAAUUGUUGAAAGGGAAGCGCCUAUGACCAGACUUGGGCCCGGUGAAUCAUCCAGCGUUCUCGCUGGUGCACUUUGCCGGGCACAGGCCAGCAUCAGUUUGGCGCGGGGGAUAAAGGUUUUGGGAAUGUGGCUCCCUCGGGAGUGUUAUAGCCCAUUGCGUAAUACCCUGCGCCGGACUGAGGUACGCGCAUCGCAAGGAUGCUGGCGUAAUGGUCAUCAGCGACCCGUCUUGAAACACGGACCAAGGAGUCGUCUUCGUAUGCGAGUGUUCGGGUGUCAAACCCCUACGCGUAAUGAAAGUGAACGCAGGUGAGAGCUUCGGCGCAUCAUCGACCGAUCCUGAUGUUCUCGGAUGGAUUUGAGUAAGAGCAUACGGGGCCGGACCCGAAAGAAGGUGAACUAUGCCUGUAUAGGGUGAAGCCAGAGGAAACUCUGGUGGAGGCUCGCAGCGGUUCUGACGUGCGAAUCGAUCGUCAAAUAUGGGCAUGGGGGCGAAAGACUAAUCGAACCUUCUAGUAGCUGGUUUCCGCCGAAGUUCCCCCCUCAGGAA